AUUGAACGCUGGCGGCAGGCCUAACACAUGCAAGUCGAACGGUACAGGAAGAAGCUUGCUUCUUUGCUGACGAGUGGCGGACGGGUGAGUAAUGUCUGGGAAACUGCCUGAUGGAGGGGGAUAACUACUGGAAACGGUAGCUAAUACCGCAUAACGUCGCAAGACCAAAGAGGGGGACCUUCGGGCCCCUUGCCAUCGGAUGUGCCCAGAUGGGAUUAGCUAGUAGGUGGGGUAACGGCUCACCUAGGCGACGAUCCCUAGCUGGUCUGAGAGGAUGACCAGCCACACUGGAACUGAGACACGGUCCAGACUCCUACGGGAGGCAGCAGUGGGGAAUAUUGCACAAUGGGCGCAAGCCUGAUGCAGCCAUGCCGCGUGUAUGAAGAAGGCCUUCGGGUUGUAAAGUACUUUCAGCGGGGAGGAAGGGAGUAAAGUUAAUACCUUUGCUCAUUGACGUUACCCGCAGAAGAAGCACCGGCUAACUCCGUG
RNAcentral lists this ribosomal RNA (489 nucleotides) under uncultured bacterium. RNAcentral's name for it is "partial 16S ribosomal RNA". It matches the Rfam family "Bacterial small subunit ribosomal RNA", at positions 30 to 507 of the family's 1533-position model. The record is from RNAcentral.